This 407-nucleotide ribosomal RNA is filed under the name uncultured bacterium. RNAcentral's name for it is "partial 16S ribosomal RNA". It matches the Rfam family "Bacterial small subunit ribosomal RNA", at positions 28 to 526 of the family's 1533-position model. The record is from RNAcentral.
GACGAACGCUGGCGGCGUGCCUAAUACAUGCAAGUAGGACGCAGUUGCGAACGGGUGAGUAACGCGUAGGUAACUACCUAUGAGUGGGGGAUAACUAUUGGAAACGAUAGCUAAUACCGCAUACUAGUAGAUGGAGCUGCGUUGUAUUAGCUAGUCGGUAGGGUAAUGGCCUACCUAGGCAACGAUACAUAGCCGACCUGGUAAGGUGGUCCGCCAACCUUGGAAUGGGGAACGGACCAGACUCCCACGGGGAGGCACAGUAGGGGAACAUUGGCAAUGGGGGGAAACCUGACCGCGCAAAGGCGCGUGAGAGAAAGAAGGUUUCCGAUCGUAAAGCUCUGUUGUUAAGGGAGCGGUACUUAACCAGAAAGGGACGGCUAACUACGUGCCAGCAGCCGCGGUAAUUC